RNAcentral lists this long non-coding RNA (1121 nucleotides) under Homo sapiens (human). RNAcentral describes it as "HSALNT0174077". Lineage: Eukaryota; Metazoa; Chordata; Mammalia; Primates; Hominidae. The record is from RNAcentral.
CCCCAGGUCACCCCGUGCGGGGUGAAGCGCAGGCGACCGCGCGGAGACCCGGGAUGCCCCUCCGUCUCCGCCUCCCUGGAGCAGCCCCUGGCGCUCCCUCCUCACUCCCCGGAGCACCCGCUUCAGCUCACACUCACCCCCAAACUCACAGGCAGGCACACCCACCCCAUCCUCCCACGUCUGGGGGUCCCAGGUCCAGCGGAGUCGAGCGGCUGAAACACGCGGGUGGUGCAGCCUAAACGCGGCCCAGCUGCGCUCCCUCCCCCGCCGAAGCUCGAAUAAAUCUCUGGCCUUCAAUUAUUCAGCGAGAUUAAUAUUAAUGCAGCUCCCUGGGGGCGGCGGGCGGGGUGCAGGGGAGGCCGGGAUUUUUUUUUUUUUUUUUUAGGCCGAGAGAGGUCGGCCUCGUGGGUGCCGGCUGAGAAGGCGCGGAGAGUUGGCCGAGGGGUGAGUGGCGGGGGACGGUUCUCCACCCACUCGGCGCUGCUCGCCGCCUGCUUCCGUGUCCCGGGGGCGGCGCACAGAGACAGAUGGGCUUGUGCAAGGGAGAGUUCGAGCCUUCCGGACGCCUUUGCAUAAAAAUGACGAGACCUGUGCAGCUUUGAUUAUCUCUGGAAUACUGCAGGAACCUAGGGUCCCACUACUUGCCGACCCUGUGAGCGCAGAGCAGGCAAAGCCUCACUUUCCUCGUCUAGGCAAUGGAACCCAAAAGAACUCACUUGGAGGGCCACAGGAGAAUUAAACAGACUCUCUUUUUCCCCGGGGUAGACGAUCUUCGGAUUUGCGCUGUGCUGGACCUUGUUAGACGAUGGAACGCGACCGGCCACGUGCAAACUCUCUGAGUAGGUCCCGGGGAUGGUGCCAGAGGAGCCGGAGUCCCAGCAGGACCGAUUGGUAGUUAAAUGCCAGGCGCUGAUAUCCGAAGGCUUGAGUUCUUCACCACCUUCUAGCUGAGUAACCUGGGGCAAAUUCCUCCAUCUCUCUCUUCAUCCCACCUGUAAAAUGGGACUAUCUUCUCCCACUUCUCUGUGCUAAGAGAACUGUAAUUGAACAAGUGGGAUUUUUUUGCUCCUUGCAAUGAGGUAGGAUGCACAUCAUGGUGAACCAAGGGGUGCCUCAUCAAG